UGAGGCAGGAACAAAUGGUGAUUUAUUUAACAAAGAAGCAGGGUAAACCAGGAAACAAGUGGGGAAACUAAGUAACCAGGGAUUAAACUAAGGACAACUCACUGAAGGGGAGGGUGACGGUACCGGGAACCGGUGGCCCGGCAGGCGACCUCUGUUCGGGUGCUGGUCGGCAGCGGAGAGCGGGCAGGAGCGUCCCGUUCAGAGGGGUAGGUAGGCAGGAUGGUCCAGAGAGCUGGGGAGCUCAGCAGUAGGAUGUUCUAGAGAGCUGGGGAGCUCAGCAGUAGGAUGUUCUAGAGAGCUGGGGAGCUCAGCAGUAGGAUGUUCUAGAGAGCUGGGGAGCUCAGCAGUAGGAUGUUCUAGAGAGCUGGGGAGCUCAGCAGUAGGAUGUUCUAGAGAGCUGGGGAGCUCAGCAGGUAGGAUGUUCUAGAGAGCUGGGGAGCUCAGCAGUAGGAUGUUCUAGAGAGCUGGGGAGCUCAGCAGUAGGAUGUUCUAGAGAGCUGGGGAGCUCAGCAGUAGGAUGUUCUAGAGAGCUGGGGAGCUCAGCAGUAGGAUGUUCUAGAGAGCUGGGGAGCUCAGCAGUAGGAUGUUCUAGAGAGCUGGGGAGCUCAGCAGUAGGAUGUUCUAGAGAGCUGGGGAGCUCAGCAGUAGGAUGUUCUAGAGAGCUGGAGAGCUCAGCAGGUAGGGAAAUCCAGGGGCAGGUUGGGGAUCCAGGAGCAGGAGGGGGGCAGAAUCCGGAGGGUCUGGUUAGGGAGAUCCGAAGGCUGGUUUCAGGAAGCAGGAUUGGCAGAACCGGGCAGCUGGGACAGCAGAACUGCAGGCAAGAGAACAGAGGUAGAAGGAACAUAUUUCUACUAGAGCAUAAAUGUGCAGGAAGCUAGACAGCAGAGUUU
Amphiprion ocellaris (clown anemonefish) is the source of this 890-nucleotide long non-coding RNA. The record is from Ensembl. NCBI's taxonomy places the organism in Eukaryota, Metazoa, Chordata, Actinopteri, Pomacentridae.